Molecule: transfer RNA, 66 nt
Filed under: Phyllosphingia dissimilis
Lineage: Eukaryota; Metazoa; Arthropoda; Insecta; Lepidoptera; Sphingidae
Description: tRNA-Ala
Source: RNAcentral
AGGAUUAUAAUUUAAAUAAAAUAUUUGAUUUGCACUCAAAAAAUAUUGAAUUAUUCAAUUUAUCUU